AGAUGAUUUCAUAAAGAGGGCUCUUGGGUUUCAGCAUCAUAAAUAACUCAUGGUAAUCCCAUAUUUCUCUGACUUCUCUCAUUUGAGGUUGAGCUGGAAAGAGGGCAGUUGUGACAAACAUUGUUAGCACGACUGCCAAACCAUCCAGACCUGGCUAUAUAUGUCUUGGCUCCCCUGGACCUAUGAGGUUUCCACCGAAGGCCAAGAUUGCUCUCAGUAAAGAGCUGACCUAGUUGCUUGACACCAGUGCAUUGCUGAUGGACAGCAACACCUCUAGGUGUGUCUGUGAUGUCAAAAAGCUGACUGAGAUCAUGCUGGAGCCAAAAGAAAGAAAGAAAGAAAGAAAAGGAGUGGAGGAGAGUGAUCUGAUGCGCAGAGAUAAAGUCAGCAGGGGACAGAGUUUUAAUGAAGCCUGCCUCUCAAUGGAGUAAAGGCUAGAUGUUCUCUUCAGUGGGGCUGUAAAGUGAUCCAGGUCUGAUAUUUCCCGGCCCUGUGACAGAAUUAUUAAAAGCUCAUCCUCUUAAUGCAGCAUCCACAGUGUCAUCUUUCACAGGUCCGAGACACUCGCACAACAGGACUGCCCUUUUUUUUCCACAUGUAAAAUGGCACUGAAUAAACAAGCACCCAAUUCAGCAUUACCGGCAGAGACUAGUGAUUGUAAACCGAAGCCUCUCACUGCAACUAGGAACACGACUUGCGCCCAG
Molecule: long non-coding RNA, 704 nt
Organism: Oreochromis aureus
Lineage: Eukaryota; Metazoa; Chordata; Actinopteri; Cichliformes; Cichlidae
Source: Ensembl